GUGUUGGCUUCAGCAGCACAUAUACUAAAAUUUGAACAAUACAGAGAUUAGCAUGGCCCCUGCACAAGGAGGAUAUACAAAUUCGUGAAGCGUUCCAUAUUUUU
Small nuclear RNA from Nannospalax galili (Upper Galilee mountains blind mole rat), 104 nucleotides. The record is from Ensembl. Lineage: Eukaryota; Metazoa; Chordata; Mammalia; Rodentia; Spalacidae.